Molecule: non-coding RNA, 30 nt
Filed under: Mus musculus (house mouse)
Lineage: Eukaryota; Metazoa; Chordata; Mammalia; Rodentia; Muridae
Source: RNAcentral
UNGCAAACUUUUUAAAGCUGAGGUAGCUGC